CGGGAAGCAAACCAGGAAGCAGGCCCUCGCCAGACUCCGAAUCUGCUGGCACCUUGAUUUUGAAUUUCCCAGCCUCUAGAUCAAGACGGGGUCUUGCUACGUUGCCCAGGCUAGUCUCAAACUUUUGGACCUGAACCAUCAUCCCAUCUCAGCCUCCUAAGGAGCUGGGACUACAGGCGAGGCCAGACCAGAGGAAAAUGAUCAGUGGAGGAGAUGGGGACUCAGGCUUCCAUUCACGUCAUCUGGCUCAGGAUUUGGGGACUGCAUCCUCAUGCUGAAGACCCCGCCACAGAGGGGGCCCCUGUGGGCAUGGCAGCAAGGGUGGCAGCCGUCUUUGGGAUGGCUCACAAAGCGGACAGAGGAAACAACAAAGACACAGCACGUGGCUCCUGUAAGUCAUUUUACUUUGAAUAUAUAGGAAACAAAAUCCACAAACAGGAAGCUAUGUUCUAUGGUUAUGUCUUUUAAACAAUGUUCUGUAUUUACAAAUUGUUUUUUUCCCUAAGUAAAAGCACCAGCUGAAAAGU
This 527-nucleotide long non-coding RNA is filed under the name Homo sapiens (human). Its description in RNAcentral is "HSALNT0256909". Lineage: Eukaryota; Metazoa; Chordata; Mammalia; Primates; Hominidae. The record is from RNAcentral.